UGCUGAGCAGGCCCGGCCUUGCUUCUGAGAUCUGACAAGAUCAGGCUACAAGAAAACAAAUGCACUGCAACAGCUGUUAUCAAGCCAACUUAAAAUAAGUCUAAAUGUGAAUAGUUUUAAACUUAAGUGAAAAAAUCUGAGGGCUCAAAACAGGCACUUGUGAUAGUGGAUAAUCUCGGGUUGAUCGCACGCCCUCCAUGACAGUGACAACUCAUUCGAAUGUCUGCCCUAUCAACUUUCGAUGGUACCAUCUGUGCCUACCACUGUGACCACAGGUAACGGGGAAUCAGGGUUCGAAUCCAGAGAGAGAGCCCAAGAAACGGGGACCACAUCCAAGGAAG
Molecule: non-coding RNA, 341 nt
Filed under: Lepisosteus oculatus (spotted gar)
Lineage: Eukaryota; Metazoa; Chordata; Actinopteri; Semionotiformes; Lepisosteidae
Description: Eukaryotic small subunit ribosomal RNA
Rfam family: Eukaryotic small subunit ribosomal RNA
Source: Rfam by way of RNAcentral